CCGCACUGACCUUCCUGCCCAGGAGAGGCAGGGAGCUUGGCCCCGAGCAAAGCAGGAACUGCGGAGUGCUUACCCCCAAAAGGCAAGGUUCAAACUGGGAAGCAGGAGAAAAUCCAGAGUCCCAGAGCUGAGCGUGUGCUGGGGAACAUCUCCUUAGACCUUGCAGUAUCCCAGCCAUGCAGUGCCAUGCUGACCAUAAACACCUGCACAGACAGCCUUUGGAAGGAGCUCCAGUUCUUAUAGGAGUCACUCAUCCAUUUGGACAAAAACAUUAUUUACACAGCAGGCGCUGAAGAAGGGCUCAAGUCCCUUUGUCCCAGAACCUGGCUGAAGUUUCAAGACAGCCCUCAAUAAAAGCAAAACAAAC
Chroicocephalus ridibundus (black-headed gull) is the source of this 367-nucleotide long non-coding RNA. RefSeq lists it as uncharacterized. The transcript is spliced from 3 exons. Lineage: Eukaryota; Metazoa; Chordata; Aves; Charadriiformes; Laridae. The record is from RefSeq and is a predicted model, not a curated record.